Chelonia mydas (Green sea turtle) is the source of this 1405-nucleotide long non-coding RNA. RefSeq lists it as uncharacterized. NCBI's taxonomy places the organism in Eukaryota, Metazoa, Chordata, Testudines, Cheloniidae. The record is from RefSeq and is a predicted model, not a curated record. The transcript has 3 exons.
UCUGGGACUUGUAGUGUAGAGGGACUAUGGGAGCUGUAGGUCUCAUAGCAAUGCAUCUGAUGUGUGGGUGUGUGUAAGUAAGAUAAUUGGUAGACCUACCUGGGGGGUGUCUACCUGCAUGGAGAAGGACUUGCAGUUGGAUCUCUCCAGGCAAAGGGCCUGAGAGGGGUUUUGGAUGAGACUUAGAAGAGCAGCCAAAAUGCUUGGAAAAGCAUCUAUGGAAAGGUGUUUUCAGAUAGUAACUCAAGACUGAUGAGAGGAUUGGAGAAAGGAGACACCACUAAAGGGCUUUGGAAGAAGAACUGCUUGUGAGCUCUCGUGCUGAUGGGUGAAGGCUUGUUUGUUUCUAUGACUACUUAUGAACGCUUGGGCCAAGGGGUGUGUCAGAGGCCCUUUCCUGAGGGGUGGAUGUGCUUGGACUUUCACUGGACUUUUCAUUACCCAGAAGCAAAGGAGUUUUGGCUUUGGCUAGAGGACUAAACUACCUUGUCUGGAGGAGUGAAACUGAAGCAGUGGUCCCUCCUGAUGACAGAAGACCUCGAUUUUGAUUGGAGAAGACACAUGCCACUGCUUCCGGGAGCUGCUUGAGUGACUACUAGUCUCUCUGCAAACAAGGGAUCUGGUGCUGCUACCAUUGAAACCAAUAAACAUUUAGCUACAAAUUUCCAAAGGGAACAGUACCCAGACCAAGAAAACUUAGAUGAAGAGAAGUCUCAUGUACAACACCAGUCUUGCAGCUGUUCUUUUCAUCUGCCUGGUCCACCAGUCUCUGUCUUUUCUAAAGAAUUCUUUGACAAACUCUAGAAAUUGUACCCUGUAUGAAGAAAAGAGAAGCUUCCAACAAUGGCUUGUAGAAUCCUACAAACUAAACUACUGAAAACUGAGUUGUUCCCCCUCUCCCAUCUGAAAUCGGCUUGUUACUCUUUUGGUUUUCCAUGCUAACUUUGUCAAGACUUUCUAACAGGACCUUCAUUUAACUACUUUGUAUUAAAUGAAAGGGGUACACUUUUACAGUGCCUUUAAUUAAAUCCAGGCUAAGAGCAAAUCUCUUUGCCUAUCAAAUGCAGUUUCUUGCUGUGUUUUUUUUUUUUGCAUUCAUUUUGAGUUCCCUGUCAUGAAAGACGUUAAAGCAUCCAAAUUCAAAUGGAACUGCAUUCAACGCCAUUGAUGAUAAUUUUCCAUAAAGCUAUGGAGAAUUAAGAGGCACAUUUUAUUUAUUCAAGCAGGAGAGAAAGUAAUUAUAUUAAUCACGUAUUGUAUGUAAUAUCAGUUACAAUUUAGGAAAGAGUGAUUUUUUUGAGCUCCAAUGACAAUUGAUUUUUGUAAUAUUCCUACCAUAAAAUAUUAUUUCAUACAAUUUCAGGAUAUUUUAAAGUAAGCCUACAACUUCAGAGAAAAAAUACUA